Molecule: small nucleolar RNA, 67 nt
Organism: Acromyrmex echinatior (Panamanian leafcutter ant)
Lineage: Eukaryota; Metazoa; Arthropoda; Insecta; Hymenoptera; Formicidae
Source: Rfam
AAUUAUAUGAUGAACAAGAUACUGCCCCAGUCUGAGAACUGUGAUUGAUUCAGUUGACUGAUAAAAU